Wyeomyia smithii (pitcher-plant mosquito) is the source of this 1546-nucleotide long non-coding RNA. RefSeq lists it as uncharacterized. The transcript is spliced from 3 exons. The record is from RefSeq and is a predicted model, not a curated record. NCBI's taxonomy places the organism in Eukaryota, Metazoa, Arthropoda, Insecta, Diptera, Culicidae.
UAUCGAUAAGUAUCGAUAAGUUUCCCAUCACUAAGCAGCGGACGCAGAUAUGGAGGAAUACAGCAAGUGGCUACGUUUCGUUCUCGUGUAUUAAUUUGAAAAAAAUUGUUGGAAGUAUAUUACGUUACGGAUACUACUAGUUAACUGCUAUGGCUGCCAUUCUAGUCGGCUUGAAGAGUGAUUCUUCGAAGCUAUCAUAUUUCAGAAUGUGCUUCGCUGCUUAAUUCUUUACAAAAUGUCUGCUACAAGGUGGGUCGCAAACGGCCUCAGCCUUAUGAGCCUCACAGUAGCGAACAGCUACGGCCAACAGUUAAAUGUCUGCAUCCGUUAUUUAAUUAAAUUGGUUAUUUAAUCUGAAGCACUGUCUGGUAAAAAAAUCUCGAAAAUGUCUGCUGUUCAUGGGUUGAAUGCUGCAAAUCCAGGAUGCCUUUCCUGUAACCGGUGGAUUGCUACCAAGCAUCGACCCGCACCAACUGCCGGUCCGUUGUAAGCUUCCCAAGAUAGAGGCUCAUCAUGGGACAUCAGCCACUAAUCACUGAAAUUUCGCCACGUAACUCGUCCCGGUAGCAAGCAUGCCAUUAUAGGCACAUACCGUCUUGUAAGUUUUGUCUGUGAAAUCUUGAGCCUGUUCUUAUCUUUAGCGACCCUAACGGGAAAUGUGUCUUCCGCUGCUUUGGCUUCGCAAAAUACAGGCGUUUCAUGCUACGGCUCUAAGUCUGCUUACUAUCUCUAUUGAAUACUACUGUAAAACAAAACGAUUAACAAUGUUUUGAACUGUCUGCAGAUACUACGUAUUUCAGUUGUUACUUAUAAUCAUCAUCAGUUAUAUAAAUCUCUUACUAUGUCUACUAUCAAACUCAAAAGUGAACGAUGAUUUACACGUCUACAAAUACGUAUUUCGACUCCGAUUUGUACUCUAUGCAUAUAUGUUAUUUAAAUUGUCUUGCUUUAUUUGUACAAUUGUGUAUUAGGCUUAUUGCUUUGCGUCUAUGAAUAGUAAUUUUUUGACAAUGUAAAAUGUAGAUUUUACAAAGGAAAUAUUAGGAAGUAUGUUAAGAUAUGAGCAGUUUAUAACACUGUUAAGUAAUCCUAUGGAAAGUAUAUUCUUGUUAUUACUUUACUUUUGACAAUUAGAUAGCAGUAUAUAGCAAUUUAAAUGACUCGAAAAAUGCUGAACGAGGUUUCGUGUUCCACGAGAUGAGGUGAUCUCGCACAGAUUUUCUUUGAAUUCUUUUUUGAAAAAUCUAUAUUGAGCGUCUUAGCAGAGUGAUUUGAGAAAUCAGGAGAAAGAAUUAUAAGUUUCCGUUAGACUCUACUAGAAAUUUGGGAAGUGCAUAUUGAAUUUAGUCCGUACAAAUGCGUAAUUCGACUGCGACAAACAGUCAUCGUCAGUGCUUAUACGUAUUUCGGUUGCUACAUACAACCAUCAUCAGUGCUUAUGUGGACUGGUGGGAUUUCUUCUUAAGGUUUUUUAUGUGACAUGUAAAUGAAAAAAAGUCUAGGCAUUUUUUAUGAAAAAUAGAUAUGUUUUUAUUGUUUUCACAAA